This 425-nucleotide ribosomal RNA is filed under the name uncultured bacterium. Its description in RNAcentral is "partial 16S ribosomal RNA". It matches the Rfam family "Bacterial small subunit ribosomal RNA", at positions 354 to 796 of the family's 1533-position model. The record is from RNAcentral.
GUGGGGAAUCUUGCGCAAUGGGCGAAAGCCUGACGCAGCCAUGCCGCGUGAAUGAUGAAGGUCUUAGGAUUGUAAAAUUCUUUCACCGGGGACGAUAAUGACGGUACCCGGAGAAGAAGCUCCGGCUAACUUCGUGCCAGCAGCCGCGGUAAUACGAAGGGGGCUAGCAUUGCUCGGAAUUACUGGGCGUAAAGGGCGCGUAGGCGGACAGCUUAGUCAGAGGUGAAAGCCCAGGGCUCAACCUUGGAAUUGCCUUUGAUACUGGCUGUCUUGAGUUUGGGAGAGGUGAGUGGAACUCCGAGUGUAGAGGUGAAAUUCGUAGAUAUUCGGAAGAACACCAGUGGCGAAGGCGACUCACUGGCCCAAUACUGACGCUGAGGCGCGAAAGCGUGGGGAGCAAACAGGAUUAGAAACCCGUGUAGUCC